GACGAACGCUGGCGGCGUGCUUAACACAUGCAAGUCGAGCGAUGAAACACCUUCGGGUGCGGAUUAGCGGCGAACGGGUGAGGAACACGUGAGGAAUCUGCCUUCCACUCUGGGAUAACUCCGGGAAACCGGGGCUAAUACCGGAUACUUUCAACUGGCGGCAUCGCCGGUUGAAGAAAGUUCUUCGGUGGAAGAUGACCUCGCGGCCUAUCAGCUUGUUGAUGAGGUAAAGGCUCACCAAGGCGACGACGGGUAGCCGGCCUGAGAGGGCGGCCGGCCACACUGGGACUGAGACACGGCCCAGACGCCUACGGGAGGCAGCAGUGGGGAAUAUUGGGCAAUGGAGGAAACUCUGACCCAGCGACGCCGCGUGAGGGAUGAAGGCCUUCGGGUUGUAAACCUCUUUCAGCAGGGAAUAAGCGAAAGUGAAGGUACCUGCAGAAGGAGCACCGGCUAACUAUGUGCCAGCCGCCGCCGUAA
RNAcentral lists this ribosomal RNA (480 nucleotides) under uncultured bacterium. RNAcentral's name for it is "partial 16S ribosomal RNA". It matches the Rfam family "Bacterial small subunit ribosomal RNA", at positions 28 to 523 of the family's 1533-position model. The record is from RNAcentral.